UUGAAAUCUGGCUCCUUCGGGGCCCGAGUUGUAAUUUGUAGAGGAUGCUUCGGGCGUGGCCGCGGUCUAAGUCCCCUGGAACGGGGCGUCGCAGAGGGUGAGAAUCCCGUCUUCGGCCGGCCGGCCCCGCCCGUGUGAAGCUCCUUCGACGAGUCGAGUUGUUUGGGAAUGCAGCUCUAAAUGGGUGGUAAAUUUCAUCUAAAGCUAAAUACUGGUCGGAGACCGAUAGCGCACAAGUAGAGUGAUCGAAAGAUGAAAAGCACUUUGAAAAGAGAGUUAAACAGCAUGUGAAAUUGUUGAAAGGGAAGCGCUUGCGACCAGAGUCGGCCGCGGGGGCUCAGCGGGCACUCGUUGCCCGUGCACUCCCCCGUGGUCGGGCCAGCGUCGGUUUCGACGGCCGGUCAAAGGCCCCCGGAAUGUGUCGCCUCUCGGGGCGUCUUAUAGCCGGGGGUGCAAUGCGGCCAGUCGGGACCGAGGAACGCGCUCCGGCACGGACGCUGGCUUAAUGGUCGUAAGCGACCCGUCUUGAAACACGGACCAA
Molecule: ribosomal RNA, 541 nt
Filed under: Paracoccidioides brasiliensis
Lineage: Eukaryota; Fungi; Ascomycota; Eurotiomycetes; Onygenales; Ajellomycetaceae
Description: eukaryotic LSU rRNA
Rfam family: Eukaryotic large subunit ribosomal RNA
Source: RNAcentral